CGACCGGCGCACGGGUGAGUAACACGUAUGCAACCUGCCCUCCGCAGGGGGAUAACCCGGAGAAAUCCGGACUAAUACCGCGUGGUACAUCUGUGGGGCAUCCCACGGGUGUUAAAAGGAAGCGAUUCCGGCGGAGGAUGGGCAUGCGGCGCAUUAGCUAGUUGGCGGUGUAACGGACCACCAAGACGACGAUGCGUAGGGGUCCUGAGAGGAAGGUCCCCCACACUGGUACUGAGACACGGACCAGACUCCUACGGAAGGCAGCAG
This 267-nucleotide ribosomal RNA is filed under the name uncultured bacterium. RNAcentral describes it as "partial 16S ribosomal RNA". It matches the Rfam family "Bacterial small subunit ribosomal RNA", at positions 92 to 354 of the family's 1533-position model. The record is from RNAcentral.